Chiroxiphia lanceolata (lance-tailed manakin) is the source of this 919-nucleotide long non-coding RNA. RefSeq lists it as uncharacterized. The transcript is spliced from 3 exons. NCBI's taxonomy places the organism in Eukaryota, Metazoa, Chordata, Aves, Passeriformes, Pipridae. The record is from RefSeq and is a predicted model, not a curated record.
AAUCAUUCAGUGUAGUACAAAUUCACAGUUUAACUGGAUUUCUUGGUUGCUUCUCACUCCAAGUUCCAUUUAAAGGUAAACGUGUGGAUCUGAUCUGUAAAAACUUCUGUUGGGUUUGAAGCCUCAGUUCUUAUUUCAGUCUCUAUUUUGAGAAUCCUCCUAGGAUUUUCCAUGGUCUAUCUCUUGACCCAUACAGCACAAUACAACUUUUCCUUGAGGGUUUGUUUAUUUGUUUGUUUGUUUGUUUGUUUGUUUGCAGUUUUUUAGCUGGAGUAAUUUUGUCUUAAAGGACAUGUUGUAAUAUGCAUGUGCAAAUAUGAAGAAAUAUACAGCUUCCAGUGACUUUAAAAAUUCGAGACUUGUUUUAAUAAAAUAGAAUAUUAGUCCAUUUUCUCACGUGAAAAUGUUGAUAUUUAAGUUAUUGUAAUCCAUUUCAUAACAAAAAAUAAAUAAGAUGAACUGGUAAGUUUCUUGGGGAGAAUUAUAUAUCUCCAGCAACACAAGAUUUUGACCAUAUCUCUGUUUUCUUACUUUCAUUGCAGAAACACACAACUUUAGACUCUCAGGCAGAAGAAAACUUGACUGCACUCAGGUUGAGUUGUUACAUGAAAGAGUGUUCAGACUGUUCAUUCUUGCCUCACUGUAACUACUCCAACGUAUCCAAAAAUUGAAAGCCUGCUGCCACACACUGCCUGGGUGAUUGGAGAAGAGAAAAGCUACGCAACCAAGGUUUGCCAUUGCUGUGUCUGCCUGUAGAACAACAAUUUGCAGCAGUGAACUCCUCAUGGUUUCUUUCUCUCUGUUCAAUCCACAGCACCAUUAACCAAAACUUUAGAUGGGUUAUUAGAGAAAAGAUUCCUCCCUCUGAGGGUGGUAAGGCCCUGGCACAGGUUGCCCAGAGAAGCCAUGGCUGCCCCAU